AUAAGCAAAAUAAGGGCGUAUGGGGGAUGCCUAGGCUCUCAGAGGCGAAGAAGGACGUGAUAAGCUGCGAAAAGCUACGGGGAUUGGCACACACGAAAUGAUCCGUAGAUAUCCGAAUGGGGCAACCCACUAUGUUGAAGACAUAGUACACCGAUAGGUGAGCAAACCCGCUGAACUGAAACAUCUAAGUAGGCGGAGGAGAAGAAAACAAAAGUGAUUCCGUAAGUAGUGGCGAGCGAACGCGGAUUAGCCCAAACCAAUGUUGUUACGGCAAUAUUGGGGUUGUAGGACCACGAUAUUUCUUGCUAAUUGAAUUAGAACUACCUGGAAAGGUAGACGAUACAGGGUGAUAGUCCCGUAUAAGUAAGAGAGGAUAAGGAUAGUGGUAUCCUGAGUAGGGCGGGGCACGUGAAACCCUGUCUGAAUUUGGCGGGACCAUCCGCUAAGGCUAAAUACUCCUGAGAGACCGAUAGUGAACCAGUACUGUGAAGGAAAGGUGAAAAGAACCGUGAAUAACGGAGUGAAAUAGAUCCUGAAACCAUACGCUUACAAGCGGUCGGAGCAGCAUAAGCUGUGACGGCGUGCCUUUUGCAUAAUGAGCCUACGAGUUAACGUUGCUGGCAAGGUUAAGUGAUUAAGUCACGGAUCCGUAGCGAAAGCGAGUCUGAAUAGGGCGCUUUAGUCAGUAGUGUUAGACGCGAAACCGUGUGAUCUACCCAUGGGCAGGAUGAAGCUGUGGUAACACAUAGUGGAGGUCCGAACCGGUUGACGUUGAAAAGUCUUCGGAUGACCUGUGGGUAGGGGUGAAAGGCCAAUCAAACUCGGAAAUAGCUCGUACUCCCCGAAAUGCAUUUAGGUGCAGCGUUGGUUAUAAGUUAUAUAGAGGUAGAGCUACUGAUUGGAUGCGGGGGCUUCACCGCCUACCAAUUCCUGACAAACUCCGAAUGCUAUAUAAUGUUUACCAGCAGUGAGGGCUUGGGUGCUAAGGUCCAAGUCCGAGAGGGAAAGAACCCAGACCAUCAGCUAAGGUCCCCAAAUAUAUGCUAAGUUGAAAAAACGAGGUUUGUCUGCCCAGACAGCUAGGAUGUUGGCUUGGAAGCAGCCAUUCAUUUAAAGAGUGCGUAACAGCUCACUAGUCGAGCGGACGAGCAUGGAUAAUAAUCGGGCAUAAGCAUAUUACCGAAGCUAUGGAUUUUACGAUAAGUAAAGUGGUAGGGGAGCAUUCUAACAGGGUUGAAGGUGUAUCGUGAGGUAUGCUGGA
This 1261-nucleotide ribosomal RNA is filed under the name Flavobacterium piscinae. RNAcentral's name for it is "Flavobacterium sp. ICH-30 partial 23S ribosomal RNA". It matches the Rfam family "Bacterial large subunit ribosomal RNA", at positions 1 to 1277 of the family's 2925-position model. Lineage: Bacteria; Pseudomonadati; Bacteroidota; Flavobacteriia; Flavobacteriales; Flavobacteriaceae. The record is from RNAcentral.